GAGGGACUUGCAUUCUCAAUGGCUCUGGUGGGGCAGAACCCUAUGCUGAGAAUCUCUGAUGGAGGUUCCAGUUCAGGAAAAUAUUAAAACAGAGAACUGGAAGGGACUUCAUAAAAUGCUUACAGGCUUGGCAGUUCUCCAGCUGCAAGGGUGGGGG
This 157-nucleotide long non-coding RNA is filed under the name Parus major (Great Tit). Its description in RNAcentral is "lncRNA (ENSPMJG00000008923.1)". The record is from RNAcentral. Lineage: Eukaryota; Metazoa; Chordata; Aves; Passeriformes; Paridae.